CCUACGGGAGGCAGCAGUGAGGAAUAUUGGGCAAUGGGCGCGAGCCUGAACCAGCCAAGUAGCGUGAAGGAUGACUGCCCUACGGGUGGUAAACUUCGUUUAUAAAGGAAUAAAGUGAGGCACGUGUGCCGUUGUGUAUGUACGGUAUGAAUAAGGAACGGCUAACUCCGUGCCAGCAGCCGCGGUAAUACGGAGGAUCCGAGCGUUAUCCGGAUUUAUUGGGUUUAAAGGGAGCGUAGAGGGGUUGGUAAGUCAGUUGUGAAAGUUUGCGGCUCAACCGUCAAAUUGCAAUUGAUACUGGCAGUCUUGAGUACGGUUGAGGUCGGCGGAAUUCGUGUUGUAGCG
RNAcentral lists this ribosomal RNA (345 nucleotides) under uncultured bacterium. RNAcentral's name for it is "partial 16S ribosomal RNA". It matches the Rfam family "Bacterial small subunit ribosomal RNA", at positions 338 to 680 of the family's 1533-position model. The record is from RNAcentral.